CCUACGGGGGGCAGCAGUGAGGAAUAUUGGUCAAUGGGCGCGAGCCGGAACCAGCCAAGUAGCGUGAAGGAUGACGGCCCUAUGGGUUGUAAACUUCUGUUAUAUGGGAAUAAAGUGCAGUAGGUAUACUGCUUUGCAUGUACCUUAUGAAUAAGGAUCGGCUAACUCCGUGCCAGCAGCCGCGGUAAUACGGAGGAUCCGAGCGUUAGCCGGAUUUAUUGGGUUUAAAGGGAGCGUAGGCGGGUUGUUAAGUCAGUUGUGAAAGUUUUCGGCUCAACCGUAAAAUUGCCGUUGAUACUGGCAUCCUUGUGUACAGUAGAGGUAGGCGGCAUUCGUGGUGUAGCGGU
This 347-nucleotide ribosomal RNA is filed under the name uncultured bacterium. Its description in RNAcentral is "partial 16S ribosomal RNA". It matches the Rfam family "Bacterial small subunit ribosomal RNA", at positions 338 to 682 of the family's 1533-position model. The record is from RNAcentral.